Molecule: long non-coding RNA, 1521 nt
Organism: Larimichthys crocea (large yellow croaker)
Lineage: Eukaryota; Metazoa; Chordata; Actinopteri; Sciaenidae
Exons: 3
Source: RefSeq, a predicted model, not a curated record
UGAAUGUGUUAUGGGUGGAAGCCUAAGUGAUGAUCACUUCUGUUCCUCUUUAUUUAGCGGGGGAUAUGACAAUAAAUGGAGCUGUACCAACUGCUGUUGUCACCCAAAGGCACAAUUAUGUAAUCAUACAGCAAGACAUGUCUAACAACAAUAAUAAUAUAAAAAAAAAACACAGCUCAGUUUGGGGGCUCCUUGAGUCAGAUUCACGUCCAGUGGGGGGUCUAAUGGGUCUCUCUGUAGGCCGCCCUCGCUGUGAAACGUUUGGGAGCGCCUGUGUGCGUUCACACGGCAGGUGGAGCCCUCGGUCCAGAGAUUUUAGGAGCCAGAUCCAGUUCCACGUUUUCCACCAGACACCCCCCCACACACACACACUUCAUUUCUGCCUCUCUCCCUCUCACUCUCUGCAUCCCCCAGGCAGGAAUCAUCACCCCCCUCCUCCUCCUCCCUCCCUCUCUAUCUCCCUCUCUCUCUCUCUCCUCGUCCCACCUCCUCUCCCCGCCCGCCUGCAACGCAACGCUCCUCUCGCCGGGCUGCGCUCGAUCAACCGAGCAUCCACCGCGCCUCCAAAUUGGUUUGUCAUUUCUGACCCCCUCUCUCUCUCUUUCUCUCUCUCUCUCACUCACACACACACACUCACACACUCUCUCACACUCACACACACACACACACACGCACACACACACCGUGUGUGUUGACCACGGUCCUCUGCUCCGCUGCGCCCCUGCGUCUGUGGACUGGAGCAGAAGUCAGUAAGAACAUAAAGGCAGCCGGGAAAGAUAAAGGGAGAAGGAGAGAGAGAGAGAAAAAAGGGGAAGGGAGGGGAGGAAGGGAUACAGACAGACGGAUAGAGAAAGAGAGAGAGGGAGAGAGAGAGAGAGAUACGCCUCUGUCCUCCUCCAGCACUUCACUGGACUUCGCGCAUUUGGACGGACGCGAUACAUCCUGUGUGUGAGCGCUGAUCGGGAUCCUAAGCACGCAGCUCCUGGUUUAUUACAUCCUCAGCUUCACCUCCUCCAUCCUCUCUUUCGGCCCAUUUUUGUCUUUUAUUUCUUUUUUUCUUUUUUUUUUUGCUGCAGCUGCAAACGAAUUAACCCGGAGUGUCGGAGGCGGGUGACAUUAUUUAUCGACUGGGAAGAUAUAUAUUUCUAUCCGAGAUCUGCUGCUUGUGUGUGGAGGGGACACUGUAUGAAAGAGCGCAGAAAAGGGUUAUUCCUGACUCCUCUGUGCGCUGGAUGUGUAGCCUAUAUGCGCCUAUAUCUCUGCGCCUGGUGAUACGGACUAGGACGUCCAGCUGCCACUGAGAUGUGAUUCUCUGGGGGGUUUCAUUUCACUUUGACGAAGCGAAGCACACUAGCACAGGCCUGUAUGGUGUCAGAAACACUGAGCUGUGACCAGAACAGCUCACCACAAGACCGUCUGGGCCCAGCAGGAAGUACCUCUGUAUCUACUUCCAGGUCAACCUCAGACGUCAUGUGGAUCAGAUGUCUGCUCUUCGUCUCGACCUUGUUUGCUCCCAUCGCC